ACCGAAUAGCUAGCUUAAUCACUAAUAUAACCUAAUAACCUUAAUAACAAAACAUGACCUAAAAUCAUAAACUAAACCAUUUUUUUACCUGAGUAUGGGAGACAGAAAAGGUCCAACCUAAAGCAAUAGAAAAAGUACCGCAAGGGAAAGCUGAAAAAGAAAUGAAACAACCCAUUUAAGUACUAAAAAACAAAGACUAAACCUUGUACCUUUUGCAUCAUGAUUUAGCUAGUACACUCAAGCAAAGAGACCUUUAGUUUGAAGCCCCGAAACCAGGUGAGCUACCCCGAGACAGCCUAUAAAUUAGGGCCAACCCAUCUCUGUGGCAAAAGAGUGGGAAGAUCUCCGGGUAGAAGUGACAGACCUAUCGAACCUGGUGAUAGCUGGUUACCUGAGAAAUGGAUAAGAGUUCAGCCUCAUAUUAACCCAGAUCAAUAAUAUAAUCGUUAACGAUUGAACAAAAUUAAAACAAAUAACAAAAUUAAAACACAAAAAAAGAAGAUUAAGAGAAAUUUAUGAGAGUUAGUUAAAGGGGGUACAGCCCUUUUAACAAAGGAAACAACCUUUACAGGAGGAUAAAGAUCAUAUUAAAUAAAACAUACUGUCCAAGUGGGCCUAAAAGCAGCCACCUAAAUAGAAAGCGUUAAAGCUUAAACAAAAUAAAGUUAAUGAUUCCGAUAAAUAAUCUUAUUCCCCCAACAAUAUCAGGUUAAUUCAUGCCCACAUGGAAGAAAUUAUGCUAAAAUGAGUAACAAGAAGACCCGCUCUUCUCCAGGCACAAGUGUAAACCAGAUUGGACAAGCCACUGGAAAUCAACGAACCCAACCUAAGAGGGUAUUGUGAACAACAAAAAAAACAAGAAAAGUCCACAAUUAAAUAAUCGUUAACCCCACACUGGAGUGCCAUUUUUAAAGGAAAGACUAAAAGAAAGGAAAGGAACUCGGCAAACAUAAGCCUCGCCUGUUUACCAAAAACAUCGCCUCCUGCAUAACUAAGUAAGUAUAAGAGGUCCAGCCUGCCCAGUGACCACGUGUUCAACGGCCGCGGUAUUUUAACCGUGCGAAGGUAGCGCAAUCACUUGUCUUUUAAAUAGAGACCUGUAUGAAAGGCUAAACGAGGGCUUAACUGUCUCCCCCUUCCAGUCAGUGAAAUUGAUUUACCCGUGCAGAAGCGGAUACAAAAAUACAAGACGAGAAGACCCUUUGGAGCUUAAGGUACAAACUUAAUCAUGUCAAACAACUUAACUCAAGAGCAAAAACUUAGUGAAAAAUAAGAACUUUACCUUCGGUUGGGGCGACCAUGGAGUAAAAACAAGCCUCCAAGUGGAACGGGUAAUAAACCUAAAACCAAGAGAGACAUCUCUAAGCCACAGAACAUCUGACCAAAAAUGAUCCGACUUAUAACAGUCGAUCAACGAACCAAGUUACCCUAGGGAUAACAGCGCAAUCCUCUCCCAGAGCUCAUAUCGACGAGAGGGUUUACGACCUCGAUGUUGGAUCAGGACAUCCUAAUGGUGCAACUGCUAUUAAGGGUUCGUUUGUUCAACGAUUAAAGUCCUACGUGAUCUGAGUUCAGACCGGAGUAAUCCAGGUCAGUUUCUAUCUGUAACACCACUUUUUCUAGUACGAAAGGACCGAAAAAGAGGGGCCCAUGCUUAAAGUACGCCCCACCCCUAACUAAUGAAAACAAAUAAAUUAAACUAAGGGGGGUAACCCCUAUAAGCCUAGGUAAGGCUU
Molecule: ribosomal RNA, 1736 nt
Filed under: Elopichthys bambusa (yellowcheek carp)
Lineage: Eukaryota; Metazoa; Chordata; Actinopteri; Cypriniformes; Xenocyprididae
Description: 16S rRNA
Rfam family: Bacterial large subunit ribosomal RNA
Source: RNAcentral